RNAcentral lists this ribosomal RNA (495 nucleotides) under uncultured bacterium. RNAcentral describes it as "partial 16S ribosomal RNA". It matches the Rfam family "Bacterial small subunit ribosomal RNA", at positions 28 to 507 of the family's 1533-position model. The record is from RNAcentral.
GACGAACGCUGGCGGCGUGCCUAAUACAUGCAAGUAGAACGCUGAAGGAGGAGCUUGCUCUUCUGGAUGAGUUGCGAACGGGUGAGUAACGCGUAGGUAACCUGCCUGGUAGCGGGGGAUAACUAUUGGAAACGAUAGCUAAUACCGCAUAAGAGUAGAUGUUGCAUGACAUUUACUUAAAAGGUGCGAUUGCAUCACUACCAGAUGGACCUGCGUUGUAUUAGCUAGUUGGUGGGGUAACGGCUUACCAAGGCGACGAUACGUAGCCGACCUGAGAGGGUGAUCAGCCACACUGGGACUGAGACACGGCCCAGACUCCCUGGGGAGGCAGCAGUAGGGAAUCUUCGGCAAUGGACGGAAGUCUGACCGAGCAACGCCGCGUGAGUGAAGAAGGUUUUCGGAUCGUAAAGCUCUGUUGUAAGAGAAGAACGAGUGUGAGAGUGGAAAGUUCACACUGUGACGGUAUCUUACCAGAAAGGGACGGCUAACUACGUG